GACGAACGCUGGCGGCGUGCUUAACACAUGCAAGUCGAACGAAGAGCGAUGGACGCUUGCUUCUAUCAAUCUUAGUGGCGAACGGGUGAGUAACGCGUAAUCAACCUGCCCUUCAGAGGGGGACAACAGUUGGAAACGACUGCUAAUACCGCAUACGAUCUAAUCUCGGCAUCGAGGAAAGAUGAAAGGUGGCCUCUAUUUAUAAGCUAUCACUGAAGGAGGGGAUUGCGUCUGAUUAGCUAGUUGGAGGGGUAACGGCCCACCAAGGCGAUGAUCAGUAGCCGGUCUGAGAGGAUGAACGGCCACAUUGGGACUGAGACACGGCCCAGACUCCUACGGGAGGCAGCAGUGGGGAAUCUUCCGCAAUGGACGAAAGUCUGACGGAGCAACGCCGCGUGAGGGAUGACGGCCUUCGGGUUGUAAAGCUCGGUUAAUCGGGACGAAAGGCCUUCUUGCGAACAGUUAGAAGGAUUGACGGUACCGGAAUAGAAAGCCACGGCUAACUACGUG
This 510-nucleotide ribosomal RNA is filed under the name uncultured bacterium. RNAcentral's name for it is "partial 16S ribosomal RNA". It matches the Rfam family "Bacterial small subunit ribosomal RNA", at positions 28 to 507 of the family's 1533-position model. The record is from RNAcentral.